RNAcentral lists this long non-coding RNA (522 nucleotides) under Homo sapiens (human). RNAcentral describes it as "non-protein coding lnc-SAMSN1-7:1". The record is from RNAcentral. Lineage: Eukaryota; Metazoa; Chordata; Mammalia; Primates; Hominidae.
CAAAUGAAACGAGAAGCACGUAGAGCCCUUAGCUGAAAAAACUGAGCCUCGGAACAGUUAAGUAAAUCCACCAAAGUGACCCACUACUGAAUAGCAGAGUCAGGAAUCCAGAGACUGUUCUUUUCACCACAAUGCUUUGUGGCCUUCCUAAUAAAAGCAAGAGACUGACACUGGCAGAGACAAGAUUUUAGAGUGGGAAAAGUAAUCCAGAAUUCUCAGAGUGCUGCAUAAAUUUUGCUUUACGAAAAGUUUUCAAAUCCACAUUUGUUACAGUCUGUGGCAAUUGAAUAUGAUAGGAAAGACUGUGUUCCAGAAGACCUUGACGUGGUUUUGGAUCAGGCAUUUACUGGAUAAUUAACCAACCACUCAGUUGUUCUGAGCUUUAGUGCCCUGGUAACAUGGGAAUGAGGAUAAAUAAUGUAUUAACCAACCCCGUGAGGAGAAUCAAAGACAACUCUAUCCUAGUAUUUCAUUCGAGGAAGGAGAUUGGAAAAUAUUAUGCUCUUGAAAACUGAUAGAAAG